GACGAACGCUGGCGGCGUGCUUAACACAUGCAAGUCGAACGGAAAGGCCCUGCUUUUGUGGGGUGCUCGAGUGGCGAACGGGUGAGUAACACGUGAGUAACCUGCCCUUGACUUUGGGAUAACUUCAGGAAACUGGGGCUAAUACCGGAUAGGAGCUCCUGCCGCAUGGUGGGGGUUGGAAAGUUUCGGCGGUUGGGGAUGGACUCGCGGCUUAUCAGCUUGUUGGUGGGGUAGUGGCUUACCAAGGCUUUGACGGGUAGCCGGCCUGAGAGGGUGACCGGCCACAUUGGGACUGAGAUACGGCCCAGACUCCUACGGGAGGCAGCAGUGGGGAAUAUUACACAAUGGGCGGAAGCCUGAUGCAGCAACGCCGCGUGCGGGAUGACGGCCUUCGGGUUGUAAACCGCUUUCGCCUGUGACGAAGCGUGAGUGACGGUAAUGGGUAAAGAAGCACCGGCUAACUACGUG
This 468-nucleotide ribosomal RNA is filed under the name uncultured bacterium. RNAcentral describes it as "partial 16S ribosomal RNA". It matches the Rfam family "Bacterial small subunit ribosomal RNA", at positions 28 to 507 of the family's 1533-position model. The record is from RNAcentral.